UUCGCCCUUUUCCGGUUGAUCCCGCCGGACCUGACUGCUAUCGGAUUGAUACUAAGCCAUGCGAGUCAUUGUAGCAAUACAAGGCAUACGGCUCAGUAACGCGUAGUCAACCUAACCUAUGGACGGGAAUAACCUCGGGAAACUGAGAAUAAUGCCCGAUAGAACACUAUACCUGGAAUGGUUUGUGUUCCAAAUGAUUUAUCGCCGUAGGAUGGGACUGCGGCCUAUCAGUUUGUUGGUGAGGUAAUGGCCCACCAAGACUAUUACAGGUACGGGCUCUGAGAGGAGUAGCCCGGAGAUGGGUACUGAGACACGGACCCAGGCCCUAUGGGGCGCAGCAGGCGAGAAAACUUUGCAAUGUGCGAAAGCACGACAAGGUUAAUCCGAGUGGUUUCUGCUAAAGGAACCUUUUGUUAGUCCUAGAAACACUAACGAAUAAGGGGUGGGCAAGUUCUGGUGUCAGCCGCCGCGGUAAAACCAGCACCUCAAGUGGUCAGGAUGAUUAUUGGGCCUAAAGCAUCCGUAGCCGGCUCUGUAAGUUUUCGGUUAAAUCUGUACGCUUAACGUACAGGCUGCCGGGAAUACUGCAUAGCUAGGGAGUGGGAGAGGUAGACGGUACUCGGUAGGAAGGGGUAAAAUCCUUUGAUCUAUUGAUGACCACCU
This 663-nucleotide ribosomal RNA is filed under the name uncultured archaeon. RNAcentral's name for it is "bacterial SSU rRNA". It matches the Rfam family "Archaeal small subunit ribosomal RNA", at positions 1 to 662 of the family's 1478-position model. The record is from RNAcentral.